CCUACGGGAGGCUGCAGUGGGGGAUAUUGCACAAUGGGGGGAACCCUGAUGCAGCGACGCCGCGUGGGUGAAGAAGCGCCUCGGCGCGUAAAGCCCUGUCAGCAGGGAAGAAAAUGACGGUACCUGAAGAAGAAGCCCCGGCUAACUACGUGCCAGCAGCCGCGGGAAUACGUAGGGGGCAAGCGUUAUCCGGAUUUACUGGGUGUAAAGGGGGCGCAGACGGCGAUGCAAGCCAGGAGUGAAAGCCCGGGGCCCAACCCCGGGACUGCGCUUGGAACUGGGUGGCUGGAGUGCAGGAGGGGCAGGCGGAAUUCCUGGUGUAGCGGUGAAAUGCGUAGAUAUCAGGAGGAACACCGGUGGCGAAGGCGGCCUGCUGGACUGCAACUGACGUUGAGGCCCGAAAGCGUGGGGAGCAAACAGGAUUAGAUACCCGGGUAGUC
This 440-nucleotide ribosomal RNA is filed under the name uncultured bacterium. RNAcentral describes it as "partial 16S ribosomal RNA". It matches the Rfam family "Bacterial small subunit ribosomal RNA", at positions 338 to 795 of the family's 1533-position model. The record is from RNAcentral.